Vicugna pacos (alpaca) is the source of this 1019-nucleotide non-coding RNA. NCBI's taxonomy places the organism in Eukaryota, Metazoa, Chordata, Mammalia, Artiodactyla, Camelidae. The record is from RefSeq and is a predicted model, not a curated record.
GCCUAGGAGGCUAAAGUUUUUCUACAGACAAAAGGCAGGCAGAAGACAUGGGGUGGGGGAGGUCUGUCCCAGGAAAGCCCUAGAGAGUCCUGCUCCAUUACACAACCUCUCUGCCAGAUUGCCCUGGGGCUGGCUGUGUCCUCCAGGAAAGGCCAUGUGGAGUCCCUCUGCAUACAGCCAUCCUCUGAGACUCCUGUGACCACGCUCUUCCUCUGUCACUCUGGGUCCAGCCAAGGUGGACUCUUCGCUAUUGCUGCCUCUAGGCCUUGUGUGAGGCUAGUCCACAUUGUCCCUUGGAAGUCAUGGGGACGACAGCACAAAAUGGAUUCAUUCUCCCAGAGCCAAUUCUCUGGUGACUUGGUGUAACCUUUUUGCUGACAGCACACUGAAAUUGCUAAAGAACACAUUUGUCAAAAGCAGGACACAGGGAAGGGAAGGAACAUAGUACUUUUGCAAAAGACUCACAGUACCCACAAGACACAAACAAUGAAUUCACUGGACCUUUGGAACCCCCCAGAAGUACAAUUUUGCUUUGCUCUGGUUAACAAUUCAUGCCCUAGAAACGUGAGGUCUGGGCUGAGUGUCUGUGCCAUGUACGUUGUCAUGACUGGUGCCAUAGUGAUGACCAUGCUGGGCAACCUGGUUGUGAUCAUUUCCGUCGCCCACUUCAAGCAGCUCCACUCCCCAACCAACUUCCUGAUUCUCUCCAUGGCCACCACUGACUUCCUGCUGAGCUGUGUGGUCAUGCCCUUCAGUAUGAUCAGGUCCAUUGAGUCUUGCUGGUACUUUGGAGAUCUCUUUUGCAAAGUCCACAGCUGCUGUGACAUCAUGCUCUGUACCACCUCCAUCUUCCACCUCUGCUUCAUCUCGGUGGACCGCUACUAUGCUGUUUGUGACCCUUUACAUUAUAUCACCAAAAUUACCAUGCCUGUCAUAGGGGUCUUUCUGUUCAUCAGUUGGUCUAUUCCAAUCGUUUUUGCCUUUGGCCUGGUAUUCUCAGAAUUAAACAUAAUUGGUGC